This 443-nucleotide ribosomal RNA is filed under the name uncultured bacterium. Its description in RNAcentral is "partial 16S ribosomal RNA". It matches the Rfam family "Bacterial small subunit ribosomal RNA", at positions 338 to 795 of the family's 1533-position model. The record is from RNAcentral.
CCUACGGGAGGCAGCAGGGGGGAAUAUUGGGCAAUGGGCGCAAGCCUGACCCAGCAACGCCGCGUGAAGGAAGAAGGCCCUCGGGUUGUAAACUUCUUUUGUCAGGGACGAAACAAAGGACGGUACCUGACGAAUAAGCCACGGCUAACUACUGGCACGCAGCCGCGGUAAUACGUAGGUGGCAAGCGUUAUCCGGAUUUACUGGGUGUAAAGGGCGUGUAGGCGGGAGAGCAAGUCAGAUGUGAAAUUCCAGGGCUCAACCCUGGAACUGCAUUUGAAACUGUUUUUCUUGAGUGAUGGAGAGGCAGGCGGAAUUCCGUGUGUAGCGGUGAAAUGCGUAGAUAUACGGAGGAACACCAGUGGCGAAGGCGGCCUGCUGGACAUUAACUGACGCUGAGGCGCGAAAGCGUGGGGAGCAAACAGGAUUAGAUACCCGAGUAGUC